Molecule: non-coding RNA, 258 nt
Organism: Doryrhamphus excisus (bluestripe pipefish)
Lineage: Eukaryota; Metazoa; Chordata; Actinopteri; Syngnathiformes; Syngnathidae
Source: RefSeq, a predicted model, not a curated record
AAUGCCAUAUCAGAAAUUAAAAACAUUGUUGGGGGAUCAGUGUUUGACCAAAAAUGGCAAAUGGACGGAAAUUUCCAAACUCAGAACAUCAGACAUUGAUCUUUAUCUGUCUGAAGUAAUCAACCCUUCAGAUAAAAGUAUUGUAGUGUAGUGUAGUGUAGGUUCAAUUCCUGGCCAGGGCCUCAACACCAAGCCCGGAUAAAAGCAUAGAUAAAUGAGAGGAUUGCAUCAGUAAGGGCUUCCAGUGUAAAAUAAAAC